UACGGAGGGGCUAGCGUUGUUCGGAAUUACUGGGCGUAAAGCGCACGUAGGCGGCUUUGCAAGUCAGAGGUGAAAGCCCGGGGCUCAACCCCGGAAUUGCCUUUGAGACUGCAUCGCUAGAAUUGUGGAGAGGUAAGUGGAAUUCCGAGUGUAGAGGUGAAAUUCGUAGAUAUUCGGAAGAACACCAGUGGCGAAGGCGACUUACUGGACACAUAUUGACGCUGAGGUGCGAAAGCGUGGGGAGCAAACAGGG
This 253-nucleotide ribosomal RNA is filed under the name uncultured bacterium. RNAcentral describes it as "partial 16S ribosomal RNA". It matches the Rfam family "Bacterial small subunit ribosomal RNA", at positions 524 to 777 of the family's 1533-position model. The record is from RNAcentral.